RNAcentral lists this transfer RNA (69 nucleotides) under Camelus bactrianus (Bactrian camel). It matches the Rfam family "tRNA". Rfam says of the family: Transfer RNA (tRNA) molecules are approximately 80 nucleotides in length. Their secondary structure includes four short double-helical elements and three loops (D, anti-codon, and T loops). Lineage: Eukaryota; Metazoa; Chordata; Mammalia; Artiodactyla; Camelidae. The record is from Rfam by way of RNAcentral. RNAcentral also lists the same sequence under 2 other names.
GGUACAGCUUAGUGGUAGAGCACGUGCUUAGCAUGCACGACGCCCUGUGUUCAAUCCGCAGCAGUUCCG